UACGUAGGUGGCAAGCGUUGUCCGGAUUUACUGGGCGUAAAGAGCGCGCAGGCGGUCGCUCAAGUCGCGUGUGAAAGCCCCCGGCUCAACUGGGGAGGGUCACGCGAUACUGAUCGACUGGAAGGCAGGAGAGGGUAGUGGAAUUCCCGGUGUAGUGGUGAAAUGCGUAGAUAUCGGGAGGAAUACCAGUGGCGAAGGCGACUACCUGGCCUGUUCUUGACGCUGAGGCGCGAAAGCUAGGGGAGCAAACGGG
This 253-nucleotide ribosomal RNA is filed under the name uncultured bacterium. Its description in RNAcentral is "partial 16S ribosomal RNA". It matches the Rfam family "Bacterial small subunit ribosomal RNA", at positions 524 to 776 of the family's 1533-position model. The record is from RNAcentral.